This 466-nucleotide ribosomal RNA is filed under the name uncultured bacterium. Its description in RNAcentral is "partial 16S ribosomal RNA". It matches the Rfam family "Bacterial small subunit ribosomal RNA", at positions 28 to 507 of the family's 1533-position model. The record is from RNAcentral.
GACGAACGCUGGCGGCGCGCCUAACACAUGCAAGUCGAACGAGCGAGAGAGAGCUUGCUUUCUCGAGCGAGUGGCGAACGGGUGAGUAACGCGUGAGGAACCUGCCUCAAAGAGGGGGACAACAGUUGGAAACGACUGCUAAUACCGCAUAAGCCCACGGGUCGGCAUCGACCAGAGGGAAAAGGAGCAAUCCGCUUUGAGAUGGCCUCGCGUCCGAUUAGCUAGUUGGUGAGGUAAUGGCCCACCAAGGCGACGAUCGGUAGCCGGACUGAGAGGUUGAACGGCCACAUUGGGACUGAGACACGGCCCAGACUCCUACGGGAGGCAGCAGUGGGGAAUAUUGCACAGUGGGGGAAACCCUGAUGCAGCGACGCCGCGUGGAGGAAGAAGGUCUUCGGAUUGUAAACUCCUGUUGUUGGGGAAGAUAAUGACGGUACCCAACAAGGAAGUGACGGCUAACUACGUG